Molecule: ribosomal RNA, 613 nt
Filed under: Vibrio sp. Vb288
Lineage: Bacteria; Pseudomonadati; Pseudomonadota; Gammaproteobacteria; Vibrionales; Vibrionaceae
Also listed under: 2 other names
Description: bacterial SSU rRNA
Rfam family: Bacterial small subunit ribosomal RNA
Source: RNAcentral
AGUCGAGCGGAACGACACUAACAAUCCUUCGGGUGCGUUAAUGGGCGUCGAGCGGCGGACGGGUGAGUAAUGCCUAGGAAAUUGCCUUGAUGUGGGGGAUAACCAUUGGAAACGAUGGCUAAUACCGCAUAAUGCCUACGGGCCAAAGAGGGGGACCUUCGGGCCUCUCGCGUCAAGAUAUGCCUAGGUGGGAUUAGCUAGUUGGUGAGGUAAUGGCUCACCAAGGCGACGAUCCCUAGCUGGUCUGAGAGGAUGAUCAGCCACACUGGAACUGAGACACGGUCCAGACUCCUACGGGAGGCAGCAGUGGGGAAUAUUGCACAAUGGGCGAAAGCCUGAUGCAGCCAUGCCGCGUGUAUGAAGAAGGCCUUCGGGUUGUAAAGUACUUUCAGUUGUGAGGAAGGGGGUAGCGUUAAUAGCGCUAUCUCUUGACGUUAGCAACAGAAGAAGCACCGGCUAACUCCGUGCCAGCAGCCGCGGUAAUACGGAGGGUGCGAGCGUUAAUCGGAAUUACUGGGCGUAAAGCGCAUGCAGGUGGUUCAUUAAGUCAGAUGUGAAAGCCCGGGGCUCAACCUCGGAACUGCAUUUGAAACUGGUGAACUAGAGUACUGUA